This 273-nucleotide ribosomal RNA is filed under the name uncultured bacterium. RNAcentral describes it as "partial 16S ribosomal RNA". It matches the Rfam family "Bacterial small subunit ribosomal RNA", at positions 524 to 796 of the family's 1533-position model. The record is from RNAcentral.
UACAGAGGGGGCAAGCGUUGUUCGGAAUUACUGGGCGUAAAGGGCGCGUAGGCGGCCCGCUAAGUCGAACGUGAAAUCCCCGAGCUCAACUCGGGAACUGCGUCCGAUACUGGCGGGCUUGAAUCCGGGAGAGGGAUGCGGAAUUCCAGGUGUAGCGGUGAAAUGCGUAGAUAUCUGGAGGAACACCGGUGGCGAAGGCGGCAUCCUGGACCGGCAUUGACGCUGAGGCGCGAAAGCUAGGGGAGCAAACGGGAUUAGAAACCCCCGUAGUCC